RNAcentral lists this ribosomal RNA (254 nucleotides) under uncultured bacterium. RNAcentral's name for it is "partial 16S ribosomal RNA". It matches the Rfam family "Bacterial small subunit ribosomal RNA", at positions 524 to 776 of the family's 1533-position model. The record is from RNAcentral.
UACGUAGGGGGCAAGCGUUGUCCGGAAUCAUUGGGCGUAAAGAGCGUGUAGGCGGCCCGAUAAGUCCGCCGUGAAAGUCCAGGGCUCAACCCUGGAAUGCCGGUGGAAACUGUCGGGCUGGAGUCCGGAAGAGGCGAGUGGAAUUCCGUGGUGUAGCGGUGAAAUGCGCAGAUAUCAGGAGGAACACCAAUGGCGAAGGCAGCUCGCUGGGACGGUACUGACGCUGAGGAGCGAAAGCAUGGGGAGCGAACAGG